Non-coding RNA from Punica granatum (pomegranate), 2274 nucleotides. The record is from RefSeq and is a predicted model, not a curated record. NCBI's taxonomy places the organism in Eukaryota, Viridiplantae, Streptophyta, Magnoliopsida, Myrtales, Lythraceae.
UCUCUUUCUCUCUCUCACGUGAUCUCUCCUUCUUUUUUUCGGCCCAGACAAUAGCAACACAAACACGGAACCUUCCUUUCUUCUCUAAUCUUCCGUCACCAUCAUCAUCUCUUCCUGCCAUCUCUAUCCUCAGCUCCAUCGUUGCCUUCACGCCAUCACCAUGCUCUCAAUCUCCAUCUUCCUCACGCAACCAUCACUCUAACCAUCACUGUUCCAUCAUAUUGCUCUCUUUCUCGCUCUCUCUGCUGAACACACAAAAAAUAGGGACAGCAGAUUCUCUCCCUCUCUAUCUCUCGGCAAAGACAGCAGCAACCCACCCAGGACCAGCUCUUUUCUUCAUUGUUCACACCAUCACCUCCACCUUUUUUCCUUCGUUCAGUCCUUCACACCAUUCCUUUUCAUCACCCUUCCUUUCUAAUCCUCACCAACAUCUUCAUACCAUAUCCAUCCCUUCCUUCUCCUCUGCAACAGCCUGUCCAUCACCGUUACCAUCACCUCAGCCAUCCUCUUUUCUGAUCAUCUUCCUCACCAUUGUCACAACCAUCAGCUCACCCACAAACAGUAGCAUCUCUCUUAGGCUUAUUCUCCUUUCCUCUGUUCCCUCAACACAGACAGAUCAGCAACCUCAUCACCAUUCACUGUUCCUUCUUCCUCUGUUACCUUUCUUUGUCGGCAACCAUCUCCAUCAUCUUCUUCCAUCCUUCUCCUUCCCGCCCCUAACCAUCAUCACAACUCUCCCUUCCCUUCAUUCUCCUCUGCCCUACCACCACUUCAACCUCCAGCCAUCAACACCAUCACCAUCAUUCUCCUAUUUUCCCUAAUCACUAGCAGCCAUCUUCUCGACUAACCUAUCUCUCUCUAUCUCUCUUUCUCGAUCUUUCCUCUCUUUCUUCUUCCUACCACAACCUCCAUCAUCAUCAUCACUUCACCUCCCGUUCAUCACCUUUCCUUUUAUAGCUGCAGGGUAGCCGUUUCCCCCUUUGUAUGUUAGAAAUUCGGACCUACACGAAUAGGAUUCGCCCAUGUAGGACCCAACCCAAUUCUGAUAUUUACAUGAAUAUCUGAAAUCUAUCCAAAUCUUAGCUGGCAUUCAAAUCGAUCUUCUGUGGGACCUAUUGACUAGGUCUGUAAAAACUUUAUAUAGAAGGGAUACCACAUAUAGAAGGAGAAGAUUGUGAGAGACGGUGAGUAGCUCUUGACAGAGUGUGACGAUACAUAAGCUUCCUGCGCCAUGAGCUGUAUCGGUCUUUGCUCGAUUUUGUAGCAAAGGUCUAUUGCCGGGUUAUUUUCUAUUUGCUUCUCUUUUGUCUAAUAGGUAAUGGGUAAUUUGAUUUGCGGUAAUUCAUGUAUGUUGUUCUGUGAAUCAUGCUAUUUCUUCCAUUAUUGACUUAAACAUCGAAGAGGGAAAUCGUGAUUUUUUCACGAUUCUCCCUUCGUGUAGGUGAUCGUGGCCGAUCAAGGAGUGCUCGAUGAUGGCUUAAUCCAAGGAGAUUGGCUCACGACUCAAGGUUCGGAGCCCAUAGCACGUGAUUCAUUUACAUGGGCAUCUUGGAGAUCAUUAACCUCGUGAGAUUCCUCGUUCGACAAGCUUUCCAACGACAUAUUAUAUGCGCGACACCUAUAUCGCAUUGCGAAGCUAAGGUCAUUCGAAGUUUUGAAUCGGAUCAAACUUCAUGGGUUUGUUUGAGAUAAUAUGAACUGCAGAAGAAACUUUACAGAUCUGUGUACAACUCUCGGAAUGGCAUGUCCAAUUUAUUGCGGCCACCGAUCGCGACACGGAUCAUACCAACAACCUCUAUGCGAGCUCUUAACAAGUUUCUAGUGGAGAGUGUCAGCACCCCAUUUUGGCUCAUCAAUCCAAACAACAGUAUUAGCAGCAAUUCAGGCCACGACUCGAGCGGAAUACAGAAGAAGGUUCGACAGAGCAAGAAAUCACUAUUCAUCUUCGAGUCAACAAAAUUAAGCAGAUGACAUGUCCAUAUGACAGAAGGAUCCCCGGGGUCACCGAAAGGCAACAGAGCAACUAAAGAGCUCAACAAUAUCCAAAACCAGCAUUUUAAGCUUACCACAUGAACAAUCAUAUUUUUCGAUAGUUCGCUCGACCGUCGGAAGAUAGCCAAUAAUGAACUUCAAAAAUCCACAUUAGUGCCAAACAGAUGAAAAGUGUCUUCAAAAGUAUUUUGCAAAUCAUCUGCUCUACACAAAAUAACCUUUUGUAUACAGAUAACUUUUUAGUGGAAGUCCAAAAAUGCCGGUUUCCCGGAGAAAAGUCAA